Molecule: non-coding RNA, 114 nt
Organism: Acanthosepion pharaonis
Lineage: Eukaryota; Metazoa; Mollusca; Cephalopoda; Sepiida; Sepiidae
Source: the annotation of a GenBank genome assembly
UUAUGACCAUAUCAUGUUGAAACACUGGUUCUCAACCAAUCACCAAAGUUAAGCAAUGUUGUGCUGGGUCAGUAUUCAGAUGGGUGAUCAUUAGGGGAGUACCAGGUGCUGUAA